GACGAACGCUGGCGGCGUGCUUAACACAUGCAAGUCGAACGGUGAAGCUCCAGCUUGCUGGAGUGGAUCAGUGGCGAACGGGUGAGUAACACGUGAGCAACCUGCCCCUGACUCUGGAAUAAGCGCUGGAAACGGCGUCUAAUACUGGAUACGAGAAGGGCCCGCAUGGGCACUUUCUGGAAAGUUUUUCGGUUGGGGAUGGGCUCGCGGCCUAUCAGCUUGUUGGUGAGGUAAUGGCUCACCAAGGCGACGACGGGUAGCCGGCCUGAGAGGGCGACCGGCCACACUGGGACUGAGACACGGCCCAGACUCCUACGGGAGGCAGCAGUGGGGAAUAUUGCACAAUGGGCGAAAGCCUGAUGCAGCGACGCCGCGUGAGGGAUGACGGCCUUCGGGUUGUAAACCUCUUUCAGCAGAGAAGAAGCGAAAGUGACGGUACCUGCAGAAGAAGCACCGGCUAACUACGUGCCAGCAGCCGCGGUAAAUACGUAGGGUGCGAGCGUUGUCCGGAAUUAUUGGGCGUAAAGAGCUUGUAGGCCGUUUGUCGCGUCUGCUGGGAAAUCCGGGGCUCAACCCCGGACUUGCAGUGGGUACUGGCAGACUAGAGUGUGGUAGGGGAGACUGGAAUUCCUGGUGUAGCGGUGAAAUGCGCAGAUAUCAGGAGGAACACCGAUGGCGAAGGCAGGUCUCUGGGCCACUACUGACGCUGAGAAGCGAAAGCAUGGGGAGCGAACAGGAUUAGAUACCCUGGUAGUCCAUGCCGUAAACGUUGGGCGCUAGGUGUGGGACUCAUUCCACGAGUUCCGUGCCGCAGCUAACGCAUUAAGCGCCCCGCCUGGGGAGUACGGCCGCAAGGCUAAAACUCAAAGGAAUUGACGGGGGCCCGCACAAGCGGCGGAGCAUGCGGAUUAAUUCGAUGCAACGCGAAGAACCUUACCAAGGCUUGACAUAUACUGGAAACUUCCUAAGAUGGUUGCCCCCUUUGGGUCGGUAUACUGGUGGUGCUUGGUUGUCGUCAUCUCGUGUCGAGAGAUGUCGGGCUAAGUCCCGCAAACGAUCCUACCCUCCUUCUAUGUUGCCAGCACGUAAUGAUGGGGACUCUUGGAAAACUGCCGGGAGUAACUCGGAAGAUAGUGGGAUAUGAAGUCAAAUUCAUCACGCCCCUUUUGUCUUGGGCAUCACGCAUGUUUACCAUGGGCUCGUUACUAAGGGCCUGCGAUUGCCAUCUGGUGUGACCAAUCCCCUAAGACCCGGUCCAAACUUCUGAUUGGGGUCUGCNNCUCGNCCCCCUGNNGUCGGNGUCGCUNGUNNUCNCNNAUCNNCNNCGCCCCUGAAGGACGUUCCCGGCCCU
RNAcentral lists this ribosomal RNA (1351 nucleotides) under uncultured bacterium. RNAcentral describes it as "partial 16S ribosomal RNA". It matches the Rfam family "Bacterial small subunit ribosomal RNA", at positions 28 to 1381 of the family's 1533-position model. The record is from RNAcentral.